RNAcentral lists this small RNA (51 nucleotides) under Arabidopsis thaliana (thale cress). Its description in RNAcentral is "ATSL030520". The record is from RNAcentral. Lineage: Eukaryota; Viridiplantae; Streptophyta; Magnoliopsida; Brassicales; Brassicaceae.
GGUUUCUUCUUUUCUUUACAUCUUAGCUUAGGGGUUUUUUCUGUUUUUUUU